RNAcentral lists this ribosomal RNA (465 nucleotides) under uncultured bacterium. Its description in RNAcentral is "partial 16S ribosomal RNA". It matches the Rfam family "Bacterial small subunit ribosomal RNA", at positions 338 to 795 of the family's 1533-position model. The record is from RNAcentral.
CCUACGGGGGGCAGCAGUAGGGAAUCUUCCACAAUGGGCGAAAGCCUGAAGGAGCAACGCCGCGUGGGUGAAGAAGGCCCUCGGAGCGUAAAACCCUGUUGUUAGAGAAGAAAGUGCGUGAGAGUAACUGUUUACGUUUCGACGGUAUCUAACCAGAAAGCCACGGCUAACUACGUGCCAGCAGCCGCGGUAAUACGUAGGUGGCAAGCGUUAUCCGGAUUUAUUGGGCGUAAAGGGAACGCGGGCGGCAUUUUAAGUCUGAUGUGAAAGCCUUCGGCUUAACCGGAGUAGUGCAUUGGAAACUGGCGGACUUGAGUGCAGGAGAGGAGAGUGGAACUCGAGGUGUAGCGGUGAAAUGCGUAGAUAUAUCGAAGAACACCAGUGGCGAAAGCGGCUCUCUGGUCUGUAACUGACGCUGAGGUUCGAAAGCGUGGGUAGCAAACAGGAUUAGAUACCCGAGUAGUC